Molecule: ribosomal RNA, 497 nt
Filed under: uncultured bacterium
Lineage: Bacteria
Description: partial 16S ribosomal RNA
Rfam family: Bacterial small subunit ribosomal RNA
Source: RNAcentral
GAUGAACGCUGGCGGCGUGCCUAAUACAUGCAAGUCGAGCGAACAGAUGAGGAGCUUGCUCCUCUGACGUUAGCGGCGGACGGGUGAGUAACACGUGGAUAACCUACCUAUAAGACUGGGAUAACUUCGGGAAACCGGAGCUAAUACCGGAUAAUAUAUUGAACCGCAUGGUUCAAUAGUGAAAGACGGUUUUGCUGUCACUUAUAGAUGGAUCCGCGCCGCAUUAGCUAGUUGGUAAGGUAACGGCUUACCAAGGCAACGAUGCGUAGCCGACCUGAGAGGGUGAUCGGCCACACUGGAACUGAGACACGGUCCAGACUCCUACGGGAGGCAGCAGUAGGGAAUCUUCCGCAAUGGGCGAAAGCCCGACGGAGCAACGCCGCGUGAGUGGUGAAGGUCUUCGGAUCGUAAAACUCUGUUAUUAGGGAAGAACAAAUGUGUAAGUAACUAUGCACGUCUUGACGGUACCUAAUCAGAAAGCCACGGCUAACUACGUG